RNAcentral lists this ribosomal RNA (497 nucleotides) under uncultured bacterium. RNAcentral's name for it is "partial 16S ribosomal RNA". It matches the Rfam family "Bacterial small subunit ribosomal RNA", at positions 28 to 507 of the family's 1533-position model. The record is from RNAcentral.
GAUGAACGCUGGCGGCGUGCCUAAUACAUGCAAGUCGAGCGAACAGACGAGGAGCUUGCUCCUCUGACGUUAGCGGCGGACGGGUGAGUAACACGUGGAUAACCUACCUAUAAGACUGGGAUAACUUCGGGAAACCGGAGCUAAUACCGGAUAAUAUAUUGAACCGCAUGGUUCAAUAGUGAAAGACGGUUUUGCUGUCACUUAUAGAUGGAUCCGCGCCGCAUUAGCUAGUUGGUAAGGUAACGGCUUACCAAGGCAACUAUGCGUAGCCGACCUGAGAGGGUGAUCGGCCACACUGGAACUGAGACACGGUCCAGACUCCUACGGGAGGCAGCAGUAGGGAAUCUUCCGCAAAGGGCGAAAGCCUGACGGAGCAACGCCGCGUGAGUGAUGAAGGUCUUCGGAUCGUAAAACUCUGUUAUUAGGGAAGAACAAAUGUGUAAGUAACUAUGCACGUCUUGACGGUACCUAAUCAGAAAGCCACGGCUAACUACGUG